This is a long non-coding RNA of Lutra lutra (Eurasian river otter), 1018 nucleotides long. RefSeq lists it as uncharacterized. The record is from RefSeq and is a predicted model, not a curated record. The transcript has 4 exons. Lineage: Eukaryota; Metazoa; Chordata; Mammalia; Carnivora; Mustelidae.
GGUGGAAAUAAACAAGCAGAGGGUUGUUUGUGGCGCAAUAACCGACCUCCCUAAGUGAGGAGUAGUCUGCAGAUGAGCACGUUAAUGCAAAUCAGCGGCAUACCCCUCAGAAAAGGUCGUCAGUCAUUGAAAUACAGCAUUUCUAAGCGUCCUUUUCCAAAACGGUGUCCGUGAGUUAACAGUAUAGACAGAAUGAGUCUGAGUUUGCGUCAGGAACUGGCAGCUUCUCCUGAGUCAUGGAGUUUGGGUGGUAGAAUAAUCUAGAAUGGAGAGCUUCUGACGGAUAGGAUGACUUCAUUUGGAGGUUCUAGCAAUUGCCAGAACCAAGUUAGUCAUACAGCUUCCUGGUUUAAUGUUUUCCCAAAGUGAGGCAUUUGGUAACCUCAACAAAGCAAAAUGUUUUCAGAAGGAAGACAAGUGCUGUCCUUGUAAAACAAGGUGACUUUUGGAAAACCCUUAAAUUGGGGGGCUGAUUGCAUGGAAACCAAGCAUGUUGGAAGGUUCCAAAUGUUUGCCCUACUUCCCCAUCCCUGGGGAAGGGGAAAGGGACUGGAGAUUGAAUUAAUCAUCAAUGGCCAAUGAUUUCAUCGAUCUUGCCUAUGGAAUGAAGCCUCUAUAAAAAUCGCAAAAGUCAUGGGUUUGCAGACCCUCUGGUUGGUGGACAGAUGGAGGUGGGAGAGUGGUGUGCCCAGAGGGAGCAUGGAACUCUGUACCUUCACCUGCCUUGCCCAAUGCGUCUCUUCCGUUUGGCUGUUCCUGACUUAGGUCCUUUGUAAUAAACUGGUAAUCUAGUGUUUCUACCAAGAGAGAAAUCUUUGACCUGCUCUGUCAGAAGCCAUUCUUGUUACAGUAAGACUAUAAUAAAAUCUUAGUGCAUGCUCAUAAUUUAAUGGUCUGAAGAGAUUUGUAAACGUUUUGUAUCCUAGGGAAGCCUUUGUGCACGUCUGUAAGGAGAUAGGAACAAGAAUGUUUAUAUCAGCAUUGUUUACGGUAGCCAAAACUAAACAAAUAUAUAUAC